GGAGAGAUGACAGAGUGGCUUAAUGUACUAGUCUUGAAAAUUAGCAGGGGUAAAACCUUCGUAGGUUCGAAUCCUACUCUCUCCG
This 85-nucleotide transfer RNA is filed under the name Siphoviridae sp. ctylc9. Its description in RNAcentral is "tRNA-Ser". It matches the Rfam family "tRNA". Rfam says of the family: Transfer RNA (tRNA) molecules are approximately 80 nucleotides in length. Their secondary structure includes four short double-helical elements and three loops (D, anti-codon, and T loops). Further hydrogen bonds mediate the characteristic L-shaped molecular structure. tRNAs have two regions of fundamental functional importance: the anti-codon, which is responsible for specific mRNA codon recognition, and the 3' end, to which the tRNAs corresponding amino acid is attached (by aminoacyl-tRNA synthetases). tRNAs cope with the degeneracy of the genetic code in two manners: having more than one tRNA (with a specific anti-codon) for a particular amino acid; and 'wobble' base-pairing, i.e. permitting non-standard base-pairing at the 3rd anti-codon position. The record is from RNAcentral. Lineage: Duplodnaviria; Heunggongvirae; Uroviricota; Caudoviricetes.